UACAGAGGGUGCAAGCGUUAAUCGGAAUUACUGGGCGUAAAGCGUGCGUAGACGGUUAUGUAAGUCAGAUGUGAAAGCCCCGGGCUCAACCUGGGAAUUGCAUUUGAGACUGCAUAGCUAGGGUGCGGAAGAGGGAAGCGGAAAUUCCGGUGUAGCGGUGAAAUGCGUAGAUAUCGGAAGGAACACCAGUGGCGAAAGCGGCUUCCUGGUCCAGCACCGACGUUCAGGCACGAAAGCGUGGGGAGCAAACAGG
This 253-nucleotide ribosomal RNA is filed under the name uncultured bacterium. Its description in RNAcentral is "partial 16S ribosomal RNA". It matches the Rfam family "Bacterial small subunit ribosomal RNA", at positions 524 to 776 of the family's 1533-position model. The record is from RNAcentral.